AGCUGAGUUUUUGUUGUUAUUGGAGCUGGGUUUGAAAGAUCCAGUUCUGCAAGCGAUCUCCAAAAGAUUACUGUGAAGACUCCACAAGUGUUAUAAAUGAGGACAAAGACAAGAACAAACACUGGCAGGGUAAAAGUUGUACUAAGGUGGGUUUACGUACCAUCAGGGGCCUCGCUCAAAGCUUUACCGGACAUCUCACGCUCCCCGACCAGCCAUACAUAGCCUGAGCCUGUCAUGUUGAGGAAGCGUGCUGUUUUGUACACGGCGGCUGCAUCUUCCUCACUAAAGGCAGACAGACAGUGUUCUAAGGUCUGUCCUGCUAAAAAGACCAACUGGUUAGUGCUAGUUUUGUGCUGGUCGACCAGCAAAGCAGGUACUGCAAAGGUUGUUGCUAAUGAAGUGCAGACAUUUUGGUGCACUGCUGAGAUAACAUCAUGCAGUAAACCUCUUACCUGGCAGAGAGAAUGAUCACUCGGGCCUCCAGCUCUUUGGCCUCCAGAAGCAGGGC
Long non-coding RNA from Carassius carassius (crucian carp), 508 nucleotides. RefSeq lists it as uncharacterized. The record is from RefSeq and is a predicted model, not a curated record. Lineage: Eukaryota; Metazoa; Chordata; Actinopteri; Cypriniformes; Cyprinidae. The transcript has 4 exons.